GGAUGUGAGGACGAUCUGGCUGUGACCUCUGUCACCCCAUUGAUCACCAGGAUUGAUUCAGCUGAUCUGACUGGCAGAUGUCCCCUUACUCCCUCACCACCCCAUGUGUGUCCCUCCCAAAGUGGAGCUCUGCAUCAAAGAGGUCGACAGUCCCUUGAUAGAGGAAGGCUGUUCUUUGGUCAAGGGUAUAUGAGUAGCUGUGGUUCCCUGCUAGAACCUUCUUCUUCUUCUUCUUCUUCUUCUUCUUCUUUUUUUUUUUUUUGGUCUUUUAAGCUUUUAUUUAAGGGCGAUGAUCUAUGAUGUAGAUUUUAGAUCUU
RNAcentral lists this small nuclear RNA (317 nucleotides) under Ursus americanus (American black bear). RNAcentral describes it as "7SK RNA (ENSUAMG00000004766.1)". It matches the Rfam family "7SK RNA". Rfam says of the family: 7SK was discovered as an abundant small nuclear RNA in the mid-70s but a possible function has only recently been suggested. Two independent studies have found that 7SK RNA binds the CDK9/cyclin T complex (known as elongation factor P-TEFb). The record is from RNAcentral. Lineage: Eukaryota; Metazoa; Chordata; Mammalia; Carnivora; Ursidae.